CCUACGGGAGGCAGCAGUGGGGGAUAUUGCACAAUGGGGGGAACCCUGAUGCAGCGACGCCGCGUGGGUGAAGGAGUAUUUCGGUAUGUAAAGCCCUAUCGGCAGGGAAGAAGCAAGACGGUACCUGACUAAGAAGCCCCGGCUAACUACGUGCCAGCAGCCGCGGUAAUACGUAGGGGGCGAGCGUUAUCCGGAUUCACUGGGUGUAAAGGGAGCGUAGACGGCCAUGCAAGCCAGGGGUGAAAGCCCGGGGCCCAACCCCGGGACUGCCCUUGGAACUGCAUGGCUGGAGUGCGGGAGGGGCAGGCGGAAUGCCUGGUGUAGCGGUGAAAUGCGUAGAUAUCAGGAGGAACACCGGCGGCGAAGGCGGCCUGCUGGACCGCGACUGACGUUGAGGCUCGAAAGCGUGGGGAGCGAACAGGAUUAGAUACCCCGGUAGUC
Molecule: ribosomal RNA, 441 nt
Filed under: uncultured bacterium
Lineage: Bacteria
Description: partial 16S ribosomal RNA
Rfam family: Bacterial small subunit ribosomal RNA
Source: RNAcentral